RNAcentral lists this ribosomal RNA (253 nucleotides) under uncultured bacterium. RNAcentral's name for it is "partial 16S ribosomal RNA". It matches the Rfam family "Bacterial small subunit ribosomal RNA", at positions 524 to 776 of the family's 1533-position model. The record is from RNAcentral.
UACGUAGGGUGCAAGCGUUGUCCGGAAUUAUUGGGCGUAAAGAGCUUGUAGGCGGUUUGUCGCGUCUGCUGUGAAAUUUCGGGGCUCAACCCCGAACUUGCAGUGGGUACGGGCAGACUAGAGUGUGGUAGGGGAGACUGGAAUUCCUGGUGUAGCGGUGAAAUUCGUAGAUAUCGGGAGGAACACCAGUGGCGAAGGCGGCGACCUGGACGGACAUUGACGCUGAGACGCGAAAGCGUGGGGAGCAAACAGG